This 492-nucleotide ribosomal RNA is filed under the name uncultured bacterium. Its description in RNAcentral is "partial 16S ribosomal RNA". It matches the Rfam family "Bacterial small subunit ribosomal RNA", at positions 29 to 507 of the family's 1533-position model. The record is from RNAcentral.
AGUGAACGCUGGCGGUAGGCCUAACACAUGCAAGUCGAACGGCAGCACAGUAAGAGCUUGCUCUUACGGGUGGCGAGUGGCGGACGGGUGAGGAAUACAUCGGAAUCUACUUUUUCGUGGGGGAUAACGUAGGGAAACUUACGCUAAUACCGCAUACGACCUACGGGUGAAAGCAGGGGAUCUUCGGACCUUGCGCGAUUGAAUGAGCCGAUGUCGGAUUAGCUAGUUGGCGGGGUAAAGGCCCACCAAGGCGACGAUCCGUAGCUGGUCUGAGAGGAUGAUCAGCCACACUGGAACUGAGACACGGUCCAGACUCCUACGGGAGGCAGCAGUGGGGAAUAUUCGACAAUGGGCGAAAGCCUGAUCCAGCCAUACCGCGUGGGUGAAGAAGGCCUUCGGGUUGUAAAGCCCUUUUGUUGGGAAAGAAAAGCAGCAGGUUAAUACCCCGCUGUUCUGACGGUACCCAAAGAAUAAGCACCGGCUAACUUCGUG